GAUGAACGCUGACAGAAUGCUUAACACAUGCAAGUCAACUUGAACUUCGGUUUGGGUGGCGGACGGGUGAGUAACGCGUAAAGAACUUGCCUCACAGCUAGGGACAACAUUUGGAAACGAAUGCUAAUACCUGAUAUUAUGAUUUUAGGGCAUCCUAGAAUUAUGAAAGCUAUAUGCGCUGUGAGAGAGCUUUGCGUCCCAUUAGCUAGUUGGAGAGGUAACGGCUCACCAAGGCGAUGAUGGGUAGCCGGCCUGAGAGGGUGAUCGGCCACAAGGGGACUGAGACACGGCCCUUACUCCUACGGGAGGCAGCAGUGGGGAAUAUUGGACAAUGGACCAAGAGUCUGAUCCAGCAAUUCUGUGUGCACGAUGAAGUUUUUCGGAAUGUAAAGUGCUUUCAGUUGGGAAGAAAAAAAUGACGGUACCAACAGAAGAAGUGACGGCUAAAUACGUGCCAGCAGCCGCGGUAAUACGUAUGUCACAAGCGUUAUCCGGAUUUAUUGGGCGUAAAGCGCGUCUAGGUGGUUAUAUAAGUCUGAUGUGAAAAUGCAGGGCUCAACUCUGUAUUGCGUUGGAAACUGUGUAACUAGAGUACUGGAGAGGUAAGCGGAACUACAAGUGUAGAGGUGAAAUUCGUAGAUAUUUGUAGGAAUGCCGAUGGGGAAGCCAGCUUACUGGACAGAUACUGACGCUGAAGCGCGAAAAGCGUGGGGUAGCAAACAGG
This 724-nucleotide ribosomal RNA is filed under the name uncultured Fusobacterium sp. Its description in RNAcentral is "bacterial SSU rRNA". It matches the Rfam family "Bacterial small subunit ribosomal RNA", at positions 28 to 776 of the family's 1533-position model. Lineage: Bacteria; Fusobacteriati; Fusobacteriota; Fusobacteriia; Fusobacteriales; Fusobacteriaceae. The record is from RNAcentral.